AGACCAAGGCAGUAUCUCUAGCUAUAACCAAAACAUGCUUAUGGAAAUUGGUGCUAGCUCUGAAUAUUUUUCUGCUGUGCUCCAUUACACAUAUGGGUAAGUCUAGUGCUGGCAGCCAUAUAUAUUUGGGGCAAAUAUAAUUGUUUACUGCUUGCUGUUGCAGAAAAUGUGAAAGAUCAGCCUGAUGAAAGCCAUCCUUCAGUGGACAGAUUCCAGAAACGGACGUUGCUCCUCCUUCAGCAUGAAGAAACUCGUGUAGGCUCUAAAUGAUGUCUCUUAAAUGAAACAUUGUCUCAAAUACACCAUAGAUGUCAGAUAAUCAAAGACAUUAAGGUACCUUGGAAUCAAACACAGGCAUUGUGUCUCUGCUUUUUCAUUCUUGAAAGUUUUGGAGAGAUAAAUAAGGAAGCCAACCAGGUGUUUAAUAUUUGAAUUAGGACUACAAGAUCAAAUUCUGUAUUUCUGCCACAAACAUUUCAGUAUAUUUCACGAGUUUCUGGACUUUGACCUUACUUGAUCUUGCUUACAUGAAAUGAGAGGGCUUCCCACACUGCAAUGAAAGGUGGUGCUGAUCCUCUAACCUGCUUACUGCUAGCUACAAGAUGAGGAUAAUACUACUUCUUUUCCACAUCUGAACAGUGACUGUGAAUGAUUAAAUUUUGGGUUGAAAAUUCAUAUAUUUAAACAAGAAGGUAACCAAAAUUCAGUGACUUACAGCUUUACUAACUGUAUAUCAAGACUUCAUCAUAGGUAACGCAAUGACAGUGUAGCAUAUAUCAUGGCAAUGAUGACAUGAAUUUUAAUUAUAUUUUCAGUUGCAAUUAAAUUUUAUUUAUUUUUUUUGUUAAAAUAACCAUCUGAUAUAAUAAAUGAAAAUUAAAUACAAGCUCCAUAGCAUAUCAAAUUAUUUUUCUGUUUUUAACUUUUCAUAUCUGGAAGCCAUUGUAGCUAUGGGGCAGAGAUUAUUGUCUUCCAUGUAAUUGUGAUUGGUGGGAGUUGGACAUGUUUGAGUAAAACUUUAAUAUUUUGUAUGAUGAGCAGCACUGUGAAUAUAAUUGUCAUUAUGAGACUGUAAGGUGAGGUUUUAUUUGUAGCAAUAAUAAAAUCAAAAUAAAAUCGUA
Molecule: long non-coding RNA, 1121 nt
Organism: Apus apus (common swift)
Lineage: Eukaryota; Metazoa; Chordata; Aves; Apodiformes; Apodidae
Exons: 3
Source: RefSeq, a predicted model, not a curated record